This 481-nucleotide ribosomal RNA is filed under the name uncultured bacterium. Its description in RNAcentral is "partial 16S ribosomal RNA". It matches the Rfam family "Bacterial small subunit ribosomal RNA", at positions 30 to 507 of the family's 1533-position model. The record is from RNAcentral.
UUGAACGCUGGCGGCAUGCCUUACACAUGCAAGUCGAACGGUAACGGGCCUUCGGGUGCCGACGAGUGGCGAACGGGUGAGUAAUACAUCGGAACGUGCCCGAUCGUGGGGGAUAACGAGGCGAAAGCUUUGCUAAUACCGCAUACGAUCUACGGAUGAAAGCAGGGGACCGCAAGGCCUUGCGCGGACGGAGCGGCCGAUGGCAGGUUAGGUAGUUGGUGGGAUAAAAGCUUACCAAGCCGACGAUCUGUAGCUGGUCUGAGAGGAUGAUCAGCCACACUGGGACUGAGACACGGCCCAGACUCCUACGGGAGGCAGCAGUGGGGAAUUUUGGACAAUGGGCGCAAGCCUGAUCCAGCCAUGCCGCGUGCAGGAUGAAGGCCUUCGGGUUGUAAACUGCUUUUGUACGGAACGAAAAGCCUUCUUUUAAUACAGGAGGGUCAUGACGGUACCGUAAGAAUAAGCACCGGCUAACUACGUG